GGGGAAAUAUGUGGACAAUGGGGCAACCCUGAUCCAGUCAAUGUCCGCGUGUGUGAAGAAGGCCUAUGGGCUUGUAAAGCACUUUCAGCGAGGAGGAAGGUCGUAAAGUUAAUACCUUUGCGAAUUGACGUUACUCGCAGAAGAAGCACCGGCUAACUCUGUGCCAGCAGCCGCGGUAAUACAGAGGGUGCGAGCGUUAAUCGGAAUUACUGGGCGUAAAGCGCGCGUAGUGCGGCUUGCCAAGUCGGAUGUGAAAGCCCCGGGCUCAACCUGGGAACUGCAUCCUGAUACUGGUUCGUCUAGAGUACAGCAGAGGAGUGUGGAAUUUCAGGUGUAUGCGGUGAUAAUGCGUAGAUAUCUGAAGGAACACCAGUGGCGAAGGCGACACUCUGGGCUGAUAUUCUGACGCUGAGGUGUCGAAAGCGUGGGGAGCAUAACAGGAUUAGAUAGCCCUGGUAGUCCACGCCGUAUAACGAUGUCUACUAGUCCGUCGGGUCCAUUUUGGGACAUGGUGGCGCAGCUAACGCUGAUAAGUAGACCGCCUGGGGAGUACGGCCUGCAAGGUUAAAACUCAAAUGAAUUGACGG
RNAcentral lists this ribosomal RNA (587 nucleotides) under uncultured Gammaproteobacteria bacterium. RNAcentral's name for it is "bacterial SSU rRNA". It matches the Rfam family "Bacterial small subunit ribosomal RNA", at positions 355 to 916 of the family's 1533-position model. Lineage: Bacteria; Pseudomonadati; Pseudomonadota; Gammaproteobacteria. The record is from RNAcentral.